GGAUGCGAUCAUACCAGCACUAAUGCACCGGAUCCCAUCAGAACUCCGAAGUUAAGCGUGCUUGGCGAGAGUAGUACUAGGAUGGUGACCCCCUGGGAAGUCCUCGUGUUGCAUCCC
Molecule: ribosomal RNA, 117 nt
Organism: Ipomoea nil (Japanese morning glory)
Lineage: Eukaryota; Viridiplantae; Streptophyta; Magnoliopsida; Solanales; Convolvulaceae
Source: Rfam